This 106-nucleotide ribosomal RNA is filed under the name Mycoplasmopsis bovis. The record is from RNAcentral. Lineage: Bacteria; Bacillati; Mycoplasmatota; Mycoplasmoidales; Metamycoplasmataceae.
AUCAGUGGCCAUAGCAAAGGGGAUCACCUGAUACCAUUCCAAACUCAGUAGUUAAGCCCUUUAGCGCCGAAGAUACCAGAGAUGGGAAAAUAGGGAGCUGCUUUUU